GGUUCUGCUUCGCUCAGCAUUGCUGUUUGUAUGUCCUGAGACCCCCCUAGCACCAGGUCGCCCCACAUCUGCUGCCUGAGGACAUUGGUUUCUAUAUGACUCCUGAACUGCUGAGCCCGGGCUAGUCCCCCGAUCCGCCACCACGCACAGGGUCUUUUACCGCUCUCCUGCCUCUCCACGGUUCGUCCCUCCCGACAUCCAUGACAAUAGGGGCCUUAUUAAGGUUUCGGAGUACUCAAAAGAAUUGAAAGUACCACGAGGCCCAGGACCAAACCUGACCCAGACACAUCUCUGGAUGUCCCAUCCGAAACAUCCACAGGAGAAAGACAGUUAUUUAGUGCAUUGCCAGACUUGCUGCAGAAGCAAGAAGCUGCGAGCAGGAAAAGCAUGAGUCAGCCCCUGCUCUGGGACGGCCACUCCCCCCCUCCGAUUUCCCUGGAAGCCUUUAAUCCCAAAGCAGCCGCAAGGGAUGGAAGCAAAGAAUCUCCAAAUGCAAGUCAGGACCCCAGCUUCACACCUGUAGAAUGGCGCUGGUUUCUAUACAGUAUUACAUACUGUACAUUGGCGGUAUGGUGGCUCUGAGGCUCAGGCUCUGUGGCUGGCAGGUUGCCGGUUCGUAUCCCGCGGCCGGCAGAGGAAUCCUACUCUUUUGGGCCCCUGAGCAAGGCCCU
Molecule: non-coding RNA, 671 nt
Organism: Lepisosteus oculatus (spotted gar)
Lineage: Eukaryota; Metazoa; Chordata; Actinopteri; Semionotiformes; Lepisosteidae
Source: RefSeq, a predicted model, not a curated record